CAAAGUUUCUGUGGUUUUCCCGUCCUCUUCGUCCUUCCUCAGCAGUCUAUCUGCUUUUCCCCUUCCCUCCCCCUCUGCUGCUCUGCCUUCUUCCAGCUUUGUUUCUGAGGUGGUUGGGAGAAAGGUUUUGUUUGAUGGGUCUGUUUGUAAUGGGUGAGGUCCACCUUUCAGCAGUGCCACUCUCCACUCCAUCAGGAAGCAGUAUAUCUGGAGAGCAGACUUUGCCUAAAUUGUCUGCAGAGCUAGUGAAGAAAUGUCCUCCAGGAUGUCCCAGAAGCAGAAAGCUCCUGCCACUGUUUGUGGCCUCAUUUUGCUACCCAAAAGCAAUAUCUCUUCAUCAGCUGUGAAUGGGCUUCCCCUCCUCAUGCUCCUGUUUAGUUCUCCCACUUCUUUCAGAGCACCUGAGAGGGGAGGAUUACAGAUCCUGGGGCCAAGGUUUAUCCCUGCAGAGACCAGCUGAAGAAAACGUCAAAUGCAAACAGGGAUGAACUCACACUAUCUCUGGUACAAACAUUCACAGGAGGAUGAUGCAAGGAUGGUCUUAGCUCAGCACUCAACCUGUGAGUGACAAGGUAAAACGCGGGGGGGUUACAGGAGCAAUUGGGUGGUAAUGUUGAUAGGGACAUGACAAGUUGCCUUUUGCUCAAAUUCCUGUUGGACCAGUUCCAGAGACAAUUCUUACUCAAAUUCUGGCUCAAAAAAGCUUGUCUGUGGACUAAGGAGCUUGUAUGCACAUGAUUUUCUUGUUAUUGCCUUGCCAGUGGAAUAGACUCUUUCUGUCACUGACCCCACUGGAAGCCAUUCCUUGGUGAGGUUGGUGGGAUGAGCUUCCAUAAGCAUUCCCUUACUUGCAGCUCUCAAUCCAAACCAAAAAGCCUCUAGUGGAAAAAGUUAAACAUGACUGGAUGUGUUCUAGCUGAGGUGGGCUGGGGGCUGUUCACACUGGCAACAGAGUUGGCAAACUGGUGAGAGGCGACUGAAUAACAUCCAACCCCAGAUCUGUGUGAAGCUGCUUGGGGCGAGGGGUUGGCUGGAGGAGGGCAUAUGAUUAAAAGUGUGAUAUUAAGGCUGAAUGGAAGUGCGGGAUCUGACUGCCGAUUCCACAGAAGCACUGAAGAAAGAGUGAAUUCUCUGUAAGAUUUCCUGAGAGGAUUUUGUUCCCCAGCGGGAAGGCUGCAGGACACCCCAGUGAAAGGCUGGCUUCUCCGCAGAGACCUUGUGCUUCUGCAGUGAUGGCUUUCCCAGAGCCAACGCCUGUUUCCCCCUCACUCCCCAGCAGCUUCCUGCC
This 1288-nucleotide long non-coding RNA is filed under the name Numida meleagris (helmeted guineafowl). RNAcentral's name for it is "lncRNA (ENSNMEG00000001638.1)". The record is from RNAcentral. Lineage: Eukaryota; Metazoa; Chordata; Aves; Galliformes; Numididae.